RNAcentral lists this long non-coding RNA (741 nucleotides) under Struthio camelus australis. RNAcentral describes it as "lncRNA (ENSSCUG00000014051.1)". Lineage: Eukaryota; Metazoa; Chordata; Aves; Struthioniformes; Struthionidae. The record is from RNAcentral.
AGCCUUUUUAAUGAGGUUUUGAAAAUCUCACAAGGAUUUGCAUUUUUGAAAAAAAGCAGCUUUUUGGAGUAUCCAUGUGCAUUUGAGUAGCUCUUUGACUUCAGCUGUAAUCCCACAGUCUCUGCAGCCAUCUCGCGGGGAGUCUGUGCAUGUUCACUGAGGCGGAGCUGAAGAGAGGGAAAUUUAGGUAGUAAGCAGCAUGUAGCCUUGCUGGUAAAAUCUAAACUCUAAGCUUUACAUCCUUGCCCCAACCAAGUAUUACUGUGUCUCUGUCGCCAGGGUCCUAUGGCAUGUGUCAGUGAGCAGUGACUGUAGAUACUAAUAGAUAAUUUCUCUUUUAUCUUUACAUUCCAACUUUCUCCAUCCUCUCAUGGGCUGAGGAAGGUUUUGGGCUUUUUCCAUCGCCCAUGAAUGCCCUCUGAUUUCCUGAUCUUGGUGCUGGCAAAACCCCACUUGAAUCCACAAGCUUGUUCCUGUCUCUGGGAGCAGAUGCGCUGGAUGGCCUGCUAAACCUGACCUGCUGGUUCCCAAAGUCAGAAGAAAGCCUGGGGACCGUGUGCUUCGGCCAGGCACUAGGGCCUCCCCUCCAUCUCUGAAGCCAACACAGGAAGGUGCUGCACUGAUAAGGAUAAAAAUAUUGCCCGUUGGAAAUGGGUGCACAAGAUUUUUCAUCUUCUGAAAUGGGGAUUUGUGAUGCAGCAACCUGAAGCUUCCCCUUUCAGGUAUUUUUGGUUUCUAAUU